RNAcentral lists this ribosomal RNA (233 nucleotides) under uncultured bacterium. Its description in RNAcentral is "partial 16S ribosomal RNA". It matches the Rfam family "Bacterial small subunit ribosomal RNA", at positions 524 to 755 of the family's 1533-position model. The record is from RNAcentral.
UACGGAGGGUGCAAACGUUGCUCGGAAUCAUUGGGCGUAAAGCGCACGUAGGCGGCGUGAUAAGUUGGGUGUGAAAGCCCUGGGCUCAACCCAGGAAGUGCAUUCAAAACUGUCUCGCUUGAAUCUCGGAGGGGGUCAGAGAAUUCCCGGUGUAGAGGUGAAAUUCGUAGAUAUCGGGAGGAAUACCAGUGGCGAAGGCGCUGACCUGGACGAAGAUUGACGCUGAGGUGGCG